This is a non-coding RNA of Podarcis lilfordi (Lilford's wall lizard), 7389 nucleotides long. The record is from the annotation of a GenBank genome assembly. NCBI's taxonomy places the organism in Eukaryota, Metazoa, Chordata, Lepidosauria, Squamata, Lacertidae.
GCACCCAUUGUUUGUACUGCAUCGUUUACUCCACAAACUUGUUUCUUCUUUCUGAAGCACAUUCCAAAAGAAUCCAAUAAUGCUGCAUAUAUCUAUAUCUGGAAGGGACCUCAUCGGUCAUCCAGCCCAGCCCACUUCAAGGCAGCAAUAUGCAGGAGAACCACCACCAACCUUGGUUGUGCCGUCAGUGUUGCCCUAUCAGAUGGCACUUUUAAGGCAAUUUAAACUGCAGCUGCAAGGUGCGCAAUGAAGCACCCCUUGCCGUCCCCUUUUGCUGACUGGGAGAGGGAAGAGGUCUGCUUACAGUCUCCCCAGGAGCUUUUCAACAAUCAGUAGGAGGCCUGAAGCCUUUGUGGGGGAUUGUACAUCUGCUAAGAACAUUAAAUGCUAUUUCUCUUUCUUCUUUUUGAAGCCCUUUCCAAAGAAUAAUGAUGGUAAAUAAACCUCUGGAAGGGACCCCAAGGGUCAUCCAGUCCAACCCGCUGCAGCACAGGAACAUGCAAGAGUAGCUUACAGGGAACAAUCCUGCAACCUGGUUGUGCAGCAAAUGUUGCCCUCUUAAAGAGCACUUGAAGGCUGCUUAGGUAUAGUUCAGGGAUCCACACCUCUCCUGCAGCUGCAAGUCCAGCCAAGAAGCAAACAUGGCCAUACACUAUUCUGGACUGGAAACAGAGGUGCUGCUUGCAUCCUGCCUGGGAACAUUUAAACACUCAAGGAGAGGCCCUGACCCUGACCCCUAAACCUGACCCCAACCCUAACAAUGACCCAAACCCCAACAGCUACACUUACAACAGCAGACUUACUUCUGACCUUUGUAAAAGGUAAAGGGACCCCUGACCGUUAGUUCCAGUCGUAGCCGACUCUGGGGUUGCAGCGCGCAUCUCUCUUUGUUGGCAGGAGCCAGCAUACAGCUUCCUGCUCAUGUGGCCAGCAUGACUAAGCCACUUCUGGCGAACCAGGGCAGCGCACAUAAACGCUUUCAAACUGCUAGGCUGGCAAGAGCAGGGAUCCAUCAGCAGGAGCUCACCCCAUGGCGGGGAUUCGGACCACCAACCUUCUGAUCUGCAAGUCCUAGGAUCUGUACUUUAACCCACAGCGCCACCGUCGUCGCUUCUUUCUGACCAUUGACCCCUACUUAAAAACUAGAUUUUCCAUGGACCUCGUUAGUCCAACCACAAAUUGUCCAAGCUAGUUUUGCAUCUGGCUAGAAGUACAUUUUUCAUUGCAGAAAACUUCUCAUAAAGAGAUUUUUCCCCCAGCUGCGGCCUCUGGUAUACCUUGCAGAGCAUCCCAAAACAAAGCUGUCUUCCUGACCCAGGGCUUAGGGGAAUUAGGGUUAGGGGAUAAAGACUAUAAUUUUUUGGGAAGCCUGUUUAUUCUGACACUGAUGUUGGUGAAGGAAACCACAGACUGAUCCUGGUGCAAGUGCAGGAGACAGGGGUCCCAUCCCAACGCUCACCCCCUCAAACCCAGAAGAUCCCAAGACAAUUUGGCUCCUACCGUUCUCUGUAUGGAUGCUGCUCCUCUUCCAAGCAGGUGCUGAAGGUGGGAUGAAGACCACCUUCUCUCCAUCUCCCCCUUCUUCCCUUAAGUGUGAAUAGGGAAGCCCACCCAUUUCAGAAACCCUUUUGUUCCCCCAUCCUUUUGUUCCCCCACCAUGCAUAAGUAGGCUUGUGCCAAAAACAUAAGGGUGAUAAUAACUACACAAGAUCUAACAUUGAGGAACGAAGAACAGAGAAUUAUCAGUAGGCCCAAUUUCUUUAAGAUGAACUAAAAGAGUAGGCGUAUAAGAGGCACCCAUCGUUUGUACUGCAUCGUUUUCUUCACAAAGUUCUGUUUCUUCUUUCUCAAGCAUAUUCCAAAGAAUCAUAUGAUCCUACAUACAUAUCUACAUCUGGAAGGGACCACGAGGGUCAUCCAGCCCAGCCCAGGGCAAGGCAGGAAUAUGCAGGAGAACCAGCAAACUUGGUUGUGCCAUCAGUGUUGCCCUAUCAAAUGGCACUUUUAAGGCAAUUUAAACUGCAGCUGCAAGGUGCGCCAUGAAGCACCCCUUGCCAUCCCCUUUUGCUGACUGGGAGCGGAGGAGGUGCUGCUUACAGUCUCCCCAGGAGCUUUUCAACAGUCAGGAGGAGGCCUGAAGCCUUCGGGGGGAUCGAACAUCUGCUAAGAACAUUUAUACCUCCAGAAAAGAAAACAACCAUGAGCCUGCUCUAAGGGAAUGCUCAUGAGUGUAUAAAGUGUAUUUUGUUUAAAACACCUCUCAACAUUACAAACUGCUGCAAAUUUCCAAAACGCAUACAUCCGUGCCAGUAUUUCUCAAUGUAAAUGAUUCAACUGGCUUUUGGUUUUGGCCCCUGUUGCAGGGGCUCAGCCCACUUAGUCUCCUGCCAUUGGGGCUCUCAGCCUAGGUGCAUGGUGGGGGACAGUCUUAAAUCUUUGCACAGUUGAAUUUUAAGGACUGACACAAACACUACCAAACUGUAUUAAGACAUUACUAAAUGCUAGGGUUUCCAUUUUUGGAGAGACCAUGGGAAAGUGCAAUCUCCCUGACCACCGAGGAAGAGACUGUUCUCUGGGAGGCUACCAGUGUUACGAGUGUGAGGAGAGGAAGAGAGACACUCCACCCAGCUGUUUGAGCUGAAAUCCACCUUUCGAGAAGGCAGGUGCACCUCUGGAAAGGACCAGGCCGUGUGGAGGUGUAGGGACUGUGCGUUCUUACCCAUUUACUUCUUGCUGCUAAGAAGCUUUUCCAGUGGAUGGAAGUGCACUUAGGCAGAUGUAGCUGCCUUUUGUAACUUCAUGGAGAUGUCUGGCAGCUGCCUUGCCUCUUUUUCUUUUUUCCUUUCGCUGCCACGCUGCUGGUGAAUCAAGUGUUUGGUUGAAGGAGCUGUUUGGAUCUUGUGCCCAAAGAUCCCCUUUCCUGCUCUCACUCCACAAGACGGCAGCAGGAGGCCCCUGGCAUUUUGGGGGCACUGGCAUCUGGUCUGAAAAGAUCCCCUCUUCUCCCUCCCUCUGUCCGGCGAAACUUCCCCCUUCCUUGUCCUCCCCCUUUUUGGGAGAAGGAAUUCAGCACAGCCCUUUGAGACCUGAGAAAUAUCAGGGGUGGUCGUUUAUUUCAAGAACUGAAAGAGGGGUCCAUGUCAAAACAGGCAUAGGAUCUGCCAAGCUCAAAUUAAUGUGCAAGGAAUAAUAAAGCUGCUUACAGGAAGUGAAGUGACUAUCCCAUCAUACAACUAACUGUAAAGAAUGAUGGUAUAUAAACCUCUGGAAGGGACCCCAAGGGUCAUCCAGUCCAACCCGCUGCAUCGCAGGAACAUGCAGAAGUCCCUUACGGGGAACAAUCCUGCAACCUUUGAAGGCUACUUAGGAAGCAAACAUAGCCAUCCACUAUUCUUGACUGGAAACAGAGGAAGUUCUACUUACAUCCUCCCUGGGAGCAUUUCAACAGUCAGGGGGUGACCCGGACCCCUAAGCCUAACUCCAAGCCUCUCCCUAACCCCGACCCUAACAACCCAAACCCAAACCCCUAGACAUAAAACAGCAGAAUUACAACUUCUGACCUUUGUCAAAGGUAAAGGUAAAGGGACCCCUGACCAUUAGGUCCAGUCAUGGCCGACUCUGGGGUUGCACCACACAUCUCGCUUUAUUGGCCGGUGUACAGCUUCCAGGUCAUGUGGCAAAACAUGACUAAGUAGUUGGCCAUCAUACAACUAACCUGGAGGUAUGUUUCUCUGUCUCUUCUUUGUGUGGCACUUUACAACUCUUGGGAAUAUGCAGGCGUCCCUUAUGGAGAUUCCCCUGCAACCUUGGUGUUCACAGUACCAAAAGCUGUUAGCAUUUAACUGUUAGGUGUCACAGCCAAAAAUGAGGCGCCUUUGCCAUCAUACAACUAACUUAAAGGAAGGCUAUUUCUGGUUAUUUCUGAAGCACAUUCCAAAGAAUCAUAUGAUAGUGUAUAUAUCUAACUGGAAGGGACCCCAAGGGUCAUCCAGCCCAACCCACUGCAAGGCAGGAAUAUGCAGAAUAACCACUAACCUUGGUUGUGCUGUCAUGGUUGCCCUAUGAAAUGGCACUUUUAUGGCAAUUUAAACUGCAGCUGCAAGUUGCGCCAUGAAGCACCCCUUGCCAUCCCCUUUUGCUGACUGGGAGCGGAGGAGGUGCUGCUUACAGUCUCCCCAGGAGCUUUUCAACAGUCAGGAGGAGGCCUGAAGCCUUCGGGGGGGAUUGAACAUCUGCUGAGAACAUUUAUGCCUCCAGAAAAGGAAAAAACAAUGGUCCUGCUCUAAGGGAAUGCUCAUGAGUGUAUAAGUGCUGCUCUUUAAAACACCUCUCUUAACAUUACAAACUGCUGCAAAUUUCCAAAACGCAUACAUCCGUGCCAGUGUUUGUCAACGUAAAUGAUUCAACUGGCCCUUGGUUUUGGCCCCCGUUGCAGGGGCUCAGCCCACUUAGUCUCCUGCCAUUGGGGCUCCCAGCCUAGGUGCAUGGCGGGGGAGAGGCUUAAAUCUUUGCAGUUGAUUUUUAAGGACUGACACACAAACACACACCCCAAAACUAUAUUAAGACAUUACUAAAUGCUAAGGUUUCCAUUUUUGGAGAGACCGUGGGAAAGUGCCAUCUCCCUGACCAUCGAGGAAUAGAGACUGUUCUCUGGGAGGUUGCCAGGGUUACGGGUGUGAGGAGAGGAAGAAAGACUUUUCACCCAGCUGUUUGAGCUGAAAUCCCUUUGGAGAAGGCAGGCUGCACCUCUGGAAAGGACCAGGCCGUGUGGAGGUGUAGGGACUGUGCGGUCUUACCGAUUUAGAGAGAUAGCUAGGUAUUGCCCACCUUUCCCAUUACUUCUUGCUGCUAAGAAGCUUUUCCAGUGGAUGGAAGUGGACUUAGGCAGAUGUAGCAUUCGACAUAAAGGAAUAAAGCAGAGCCCAUGCAGGCAACCCAUCUUUUUCCACUGCAGCCUUGUCUCUUUUUCUUCUCUUUCCUUUCACUGCCACGCUGCUGGGCGAAUCAGGUGUUUGGUUAAAGGAGCUGUUUGGGACUUGUCUCAAAAGAUCCCCUUUCCGCCUCUCACCCCACAUGGCAGCAGCAGGAGGGCACCUCUUCUCCCUCCAUCAGGCAAAACUUCCCCCUUCCUUCUCCUCCCCCUUCUUCUGAGCAAGAAUUCAGCACGCCCCAUAGAGACCUAAGAAAUAACGGGGGGGGGGGGGGGCGACUGAAUAGGGGUCCGUGUAAAAACAGGCACAGGAUCUGCAAGCUCCAAUUAACGUGCAAGGAAUAAUAAGGGAGCUCACAGGAAGUGAGGCUACUUUCCCAUCAUACAACUAACUUUGAGGAACACUAUUUCUCUUUCAUCUUUCUGAAGCCCUUUCCAAAGAAUAACCAUGGUAUGUAAACCUCUGGAAAGGACCACAAGGGUCAUCCAGUCCAACCCGCUGCAUCGCAGGAACAUGCAGGAGUCCCUUAUGGGGGAAAAUCCUAACAUCUUGGUUGUGCAGCUAAUGUUCCUCUCUUAAACGGCACUUUGAAGGCUACUUCAGGGAUCCCCACCUCUCCUGCAGCUGCAAGUUCAGCCAGGAAGCAAACAUGGCCAUCCACUAUUCUUGACUGGAAACAGAGGAAGUGCUGCUUACAUCCUCCCUGGGAGCAUUAAGGUAAAGGGACCCCUGACCAUUAGGUCCAGUCACGGACGACUCUGGGGUUGCAGCGCUCAUCUCGCUUUACUGCCCGACAGAGCCGGCGUACAGCAUGACUAAGCCGCUUCUGGCGAACCAGAACAGCGCACGGAAAUGCCGUUUACCAUCCCGCCGGAGCGGUACCCAUUUAUCUACUUGUACUUCGAACUGCUAGGUUGGCAGCAGCAAGGACCCUGCAAAGGGAGCUCACUCCGUCGCGGGGAUUCGAACCGCCAACCUUCUGAUUGCCAAGUCCUAGGCUCGGUGGUUUAACCCACAGCGACACCUGCAUCUCAUAACUUAAAGGAAUGCUAUUUCUGUUUCAUCUUUCUAAAGCACAUUCCAAAGAAUCAUAUGAUGCUGCAUUUAUAUCUAUAUCUGGAAGGGACCUCAUCGGUCAUCCAGCCCAACCCACUGCAAGGCAGGAAUAUGCAGGAGAAUAACCACUAACCUUGGUUGUGCUGUCAGUGUUGCCGGAUUAAAUGGCACUUUCAAGGCAAUUUAAACUGCAGCUUCAAGUUGCGCCAUGAAGCACCCCUUGCCAUCCCCUUUUGCUGACUGGGAGCGGAGGAGGUGCUGCUUACAGUCUCCCCAGGAGCAUUUCAACAGUCAGGAGGAGGCCUGAAGCCUUCGGGGGGAUUGUACAUCUGCUAAGAACAUUUAUGCCUCCAGAAAAGGAAAAAACAAUGGUCCUGCUCUAAGGGAAUGCUCAUGAGUGUAUAAGUGCUGCUCUUUAAAACACACCUCUUAACGUUACAAACUGCUGCAAAUUUACAAGACGCAUACAAAUACGUGCCAGUAUUUGUCAAUGUAAAUGAUUCAAUUGGCUUUUGGCUUUGGCCCCUGUUGCAGGGCUCAGCCCACUUAGUCUUGUGCCAUUGGGGCUCCCAGCCUAGGUGCAUGGCAGGGGACAGUCUUAAAUGUUUGCAGUUGAUUUUUAAGGACUGACACACACAAACACACACCCCAAAACUGUAUUAAGACAUUACUAAAUGCUAAGGUUUCCAUUUUUGGAGAGACCGUGGGAAAGUGCCAUCUCCCUGACCAUCGAGGAAUAGAGACUGAUCUCUGGGAGGUUGCCAGGGUUACUGGUGUGAGGAGAGGAAGAGAGACACUUCACUCAGCUGUUUGAGCUGAAAUCCACCUUUCGAGAAGGCAGGCUGCACCUCUGGAAAGGACCAGGCCUUGUGGAGGUGUAGGGACUGUGUGGUCUUACCGAUUUAGAGAGAUAGCUAGGUAUUGCCCACUGUUCCCUUUACUCCUUGCUGCUAAGAAUCUUUUCCGGUGGAUGGAAGUGGACUUAGGCAGAUGUAGCAUUCGACAUAAAGGAAUAAAGCAGAGCCCAUGCAGGCAACCCAUCUUUUUCCACUGCAGCCUUGCCUCUUUUUCUUCUCUUUCCUUUCGCUGCCACGCUGCUGGGCGAAUCAGGUGUUUGGUUAAAGGAGCCGUUUGGAUCUCGUCUCAAAAGAUCCCCUUUCCCCCUCUCGCCACUCUUCUCCCUCCCUCUGUCAAGCAAAACGUCCCCCUUCCUUCUCCUUCCACUUUUUGGGAGAAGGAAUUCAGCACAGCUCAGAGACCUGAGAAAUAACGGGGGGGGGGGGGCAGAUUUUUUCUAGAACCGAAAGAGGGGUCCAUGUAAAAACAGGCAGAGGAUCCGCCAAGCUCAAACUAAAGUGAAGGAAUAAUAAGGGAGCUCACAGAAAGCGAGGCGACUUUCCUG